AUUGAACGCUGGCGGCAUGCCUUACACAUGCAAGUCGAACGGCAGCACGGGGGCAACCCUGGUGGCGAGUGGCGAACGGGUGAGUAACAUAUCGGAACAUACCCUAGAGUGGGGAUAACGUAGCGAAGUUACGCUAAUACCGCAUACGAUCUAAGGAUGAAAGUGGGGGGAUCUUCGGACCUCAUGCUCAUGGAGUGGCCGAUAUCUGAUUAGCUAGUUGGUGAGGUAAAGGCUCACCAAGGCGACGAUCAGUAGCUGGUUUGAGAGAACGACCAGCCACACUGGAACUGAGACACGGUCCAGACUCCUACGGGAGGCAGCAGUGGGGAAUUUUGGACAAUGGGGGCAACCCUGAUCCAGCAAUGCCGCGUGAGUGAAGAAGGCC
This 385-nucleotide ribosomal RNA is filed under the name uncultured bacterium. RNAcentral describes it as "bacterial SSU rRNA". It matches the Rfam family "Bacterial small subunit ribosomal RNA", at positions 30 to 416 of the family's 1533-position model. The record is from RNAcentral.